GAUGAACGCUGGCGGCGUGCUUAACACAUGCAAGUCGAACGAGAAGUGAAGACGGAAACCUUCGUGCGGAAGGCUUUAUUUCGAGUGGCGGACGGGUGAGUAACGCGUGGGUAACCUGCCUCAUACAGGGGGAUAACAGUUGGAAACGACUGUUAAUACCGCAUAAGACCACAGCACCGCAUGGUGCGGGGGUAAAAACUCCGGUGGUAUGAGAUGGACCCGCGUUCGAUUAGCCAGUUGGCAGGGUAACGGCCCACCAAAGCGACGAUCGAUAGCCGGUCUGAGAGGCUGACCGGCCACAUUGAGACUGAGACGCGGCCCAAACUCCUACGGGAGGCAGCAGUGGGGAAUAUUGCACAAUGGGGGAAACCCUGAUGCAGCGACGCCGCGUGAGUGAAGAAGUAUUUAGGUAUGUACAGCUCUAUCAGCAGGGAAGAAAAUGACGGUACCUGAGUAAGAAGCCCCGGCUAACUACGUG
Molecule: ribosomal RNA, 478 nt
Filed under: uncultured bacterium
Lineage: Bacteria
Description: partial 16S ribosomal RNA
Rfam family: Bacterial small subunit ribosomal RNA
Source: RNAcentral